Molecule: ribosomal RNA, 217 nt
Filed under: uncultured bacterium
Lineage: Bacteria
Description: partial 16S ribosomal RNA
Rfam family: Bacterial small subunit ribosomal RNA
Source: RNAcentral
GUCCCAGUUCGGAUUGUAGUCUGCAACUCGACUACAUGAAGCUGGAAUCGCUAGUAAUCGCGGAUCAGAAUGCCGCGGUGAAUACGUUCCCGGGUCUUGUACACACCGCCCGUCACACCAUGGGAGUCAGUAACGCCCGAAGCCGGUGACCCAACCGAUAAGGAGGGAGCCGUCGAAGGUGGGACCGAUAACUGGGGUGAAGUCGUAACAAGGUACC